RNAcentral lists this ribosomal RNA (585 nucleotides) under uncultured bacterium. RNAcentral describes it as "bacterial SSU rRNA". It matches the Rfam family "Bacterial small subunit ribosomal RNA", at positions 338 to 916 of the family's 1533-position model. The record is from RNAcentral.
CCUACGGAGGCAGCAGUGGGGAAUUUUGGACAAUGGGCGAAAGCCUGAUCCAGCAAUGCCGCGUGAGUGAAGAAGGCCUUCGGGUUGUAAAGCUCUUUUGUCAGGGAAGAAACGGUGAGGGCUAAUAUCUCUUGCUAAUGACGGUACCUGAAGAAUAAGCACCGGCUAACUACGUGCCAGCAGCCGCGGUAAUACGUAGGGUGCAAGCGUUAAUCGGAAUUACUGGGCGUAAAGCGUGCGCAGGCGGUUUUGUAAGUCUGUCGUGAAAUCCCCGGACUCAACCUGGGAAUUGCGAUGGAGACUGCAAGGCUAGAAUCUGGCAGAGGGGGGUAGAAUUCCACGUGUAGCAGUGAAAUGCGUAGAGAUGUGGAGGAACACCGAUGGCGAAGGCAGCCCCCUGGGUCAAGAUUGACGCUCAUGCACGAAAGCGUGGGGAGCAAACAGGAUUAGAUACCCUGGUAGUCCACGCCCUAAACGAUGUCUACUAGUUGUCGGGUUUUAAUUAACUUGGUAACGCAGCUAACGCGUGAAGUAGACCGCCUGGGGAGUACGGUCGCAAGAUUAAAACUCAAAUGAAAUUGACGG